This 561-nucleotide ribosomal RNA is filed under the name Triticum aestivum (bread wheat). RNAcentral describes it as "partial small subunit ribosomal RNA". Lineage: Eukaryota; Viridiplantae; Streptophyta; Magnoliopsida; Poales; Poaceae. The record is from RNAcentral.
AUGGACCUUCUGGCGACACGAGGAAGAAGGGAGGUGGUUCUGGGCGAGCUUGACCAUGCCGGCAAAUUGCUGCUGGGGCCACCGGCCAACGAGGUGCUGCUGGGGCCGGCGGCCGGCAAGGUGCCCUCCUGGGGCCGGCGGCGAGGUUCCUGGAUGAGCAAGAAGCUGGGCAGGGAGGAGGAGAUCCUGGGUGGAGGAGAAUCUGAGCGAGGUGGGAAGGGAGGAGAUCCUGGCGAGGAGAAUCUAGGUGAGGUGGGCAGGGAGAAGCUGGGAGGCGAGCCGGCGACGCGCUUGGAGGCGACACACUUGGUGAUGCGAUCCCGAUGGUUUUUGAAUUUCAAAUUGAUCGAAGGGCAUUGUUGUCCAUUAGCGAUUUUUGGGGGCUGUCGGAAAUCUCCUUCGGCGCCAUACAAAAGUGAACGGAGGGAGUAUUAUUUUUCCAAAACUAUUAAUGGCGCACCAAGGCAUAGUGUGCCAUUACUAGUUUUAAUUAGUAAUGGCGCAGCACACGCUCCGUGCGCCAGAACUAACACAUUUUUUUACUUUUUUUUUCAAAACUAG